Molecule: ribosomal RNA, 504 nt
Filed under: uncultured Glomus
Lineage: Eukaryota; Fungi; Glomeromycota; Glomeromycetes; Glomerales; Glomeraceae
Description: SSU rRNA
Rfam family: Eukaryotic small subunit ribosomal RNA
Source: RNAcentral
AGCAGCCGCGGUAAUUCCAGCUCCAAUAGCGUAUAUUAAAGUUGUUGCAGUUAAAAAGCUCGUAGUUGAAUUUCGGGGUCAGUAGGUUGGUCGUGCCACUGGUAUGCACUGGUCUCACUGAUUCCUCCUUCCUGAUGAACCGUAAUGCCAUUAAUUUGGUGUUGCGGGGAAUCUGGACUGUUACUUUGAAAAAAUUAGAGUGUUUAAAGCAGGCUAACGCUUGAAUACAUUAGCAUGGAAUAAUGAAAUAGGACGAUCGAUCCUAUUUUGUUGGUUUCUAGGAUUGACGUAAUGAUUAAUAGGGAUAGUUGGGGGCAUUAGUAUUCAAUUGUCAGAGGUGAAAUUCUUGGAUUUAUUGAAGACUAACUACUGCGAAAGCAUUUGCCAAGGAUGUUUUCAUUAAUCAAGAACGAAAGUUAGGGGAUCGAAGACGAUCAGAUACCGUCGUAGUCUUAACCAUAAACUAUGCCGACUAGGGAUCGGAUGAUGUUAAUUUUUUAAUGA